Ipomoea nil (Japanese morning glory) is the source of this 2048-nucleotide RNA transcript. It is a transcript of the gene named HIRA-interacting protein 3-like, with no coding region annotated. The transcript has 9 exons. Lineage: Eukaryota; Viridiplantae; Streptophyta; Magnoliopsida; Solanales; Convolvulaceae. The record is from RefSeq and is a predicted model, not a curated record.
UAUGUCAUUUGCUACCGGAAAAAGCCCAUAAGCUGCAAUUGAAUUGAGGUAUUGCCGAGAGAGAGAGAGAGAGAGAGAGUAGGGUAAUGAAGACGGAGAUGGUGGAGGAGGACGUGAAACAGGAGCUGAAGAAGGGGAUUGACGAGUCUCAGAUAGAGGCUGCACUGCGCUCUCGCCUCGAACACUUAAAGGAGAAUGCCAACUCCUUCACGUUGGAAAGAGUUCGUAGGUUAAUCGAGAAAGACUUGGACAUUGACAAGUAUGCCAUAGAUAUACAUAAAAGAUUCAUUAAGCAGUUCCUAGAGGAGCAUAUGGAGAGUGCCAAUGAAGAUAAUACUACAAAAGAUUCCAAAGAAAGUAUGGAGAGUGCCAAUGAAGAUAAUACUACAAAAGAUUCCAAAGAAGGUAUGGAGAGUGCCAAUGAAGAUAAUAACACUACAAAAGAUUCCAAAGAAAGUGUGAAGAAAGAAACUUGUUUAACUGACUGUGAAGUGGAAAAAUCACCUGAAGAGCACAAGAUAAAGAAAGAUGUAAAAGAUUCUGGAGCUGAAGAUGAGAAGAAAUUAGAUGACUCUCCUAUAAUGGGUGUCUUGGAGUCCAAACCUCGUUUGGUGGAUGCUCAAGAUGCAAAGGCUAGUGAAAGCUCAAUAAAGAAGGCCAUUCGGGAAAGCGCUGCCUAUAUUAGGGCUAAUGCUGAGACAAUGACUCUGGCCAGUGUUCGUCGAUAUUUGGAGGAGGAAAUGGGCCUUGAAAAAGGUACUCUUGAUCCUUUCAAGAAGUUCAUAAAGGAAGAAAUAGAUAAGGCAUUGACUUCUGAAUCACCAAAAUCUAAAAGCAGUAUUAAGAAGACAUCUGAGAAGCAAACUAAACCAGCAAAGAAGAUUAUUGCUAAAGGAACUUCUGACUCUUUAGACAGUGAAAGUGAUAAGGGGGAUCCCGGACCUGGAUCAGUUAAGAAAGCUGUUCCAAAAGGGAAGAAUGAGAAAUCUGAAGGCCCUAAGAAACGUAAAAGUUCUGAAAUGAAAUCUGAUGUCCCUAACAAGAAACAGAAGGUUGUGAAGAAGUCAUCUGAAAGUAAUGAUGCAGAAAGUGAUAGGAGUGAGUCUGAAGAUUGUAAAUCUCCGUCAACUGCUGCAAAACCUGCAAGGAAGAAAGCCACGCCAGCAGCUGGAUACGGAGAACAUGUAGAAAAUUUGAAAUCAAUAAUCAAAGCUUGUGGAAUGAGGUUUUCUCUUGACUUUUUGUUUGUCAAGGAUUUUCCCAUGUUUACACCCAAUAUUCUUACCACUUGUACCUCUCCACAGCAUUCCUCCUUCCAUUUACAAGAAAGCUAAGCAGGUUCCAGAAGAUGAACGUGAGGAAUUCUUAAGUAAGGAGUUAGAAGACAUACUCUCAAGAGAAGGGCUGUCAAGUAAUCCUUCUGAGAAAGAAAUUAAAGAAGUAAAAAAGAAAAAAGAAAGAGCUAAAGAACUAGAAGGAAUUGACCUCAGCAACAUUGUUUCAAGUACACGAAGAAGGUCAACGACCAGCUUUGUGCCUCCUCCAAAACCCAAGUCACCUGUUAAAGAUGACAAGAGUGAUGCUGAAGAUAGUGACAAAGAGGAUUCAAGUGAUGACAGUGAUACUGAGGAAGAUGGUGAUGGUUCUCAGAUUGAUGAGAUAAAUGAAGAUCAUGAAGAAGACAGUGACUGAAUCUUAUGUAGCCAUCUCAGAAGAACUCUGACGCACAAAGACCAUGCACAAAGACAAUUGCUGUUCAAAUUGAUUUGGGAGCUGGAAUUUGUAAUAUAUGUCAAAGAGGGCUUUCCAUCACAGUUUUGAGACUUAGCUGCUUUUCGAAGGUGUAGUCUACUAGUACUUUGGACUAAAAUCAUUCUAUUCUCUGCUGUAGGAGGCGGCAAAGUUGCUGCUGCUUGUAGACUGUGAUGGGAAGUAACUUACAAACAGUUUUUGGAUAUUUGUAACUUGUCUAGGAUUGUUAUAAAUAUAUCUUUGGAAAAAAAUAACAAAAAAAAAAAAAAAAAAACGAAGGGAAGAUCCACAUUGUG